AACGCACCUUGCGCUCUCUGGUAUUCCGGAGAGCAUGCCUGUUUGAGUGUCAUGAACUCUUCAACCCACCGGUUCCUUGUUGAACCGAGCUGGUGUUUGGUUUUUGAGUGUUUUGCUUUGUUUUCGGACAUAGCUCGCUCGUAAUACAUUAGCAUCUCGAUUUCGAAAUUUCGGAUUGACUCAGCGUAAUAGACUAUUCGCUGAGGACACCUUUACCGGUGGCCGUAAUUAUGAUAACAGUAGACGCUUCCAAUCCUACUAGUCAAUUUUAUGAUUAGACCUCAGAUCAGGCAGGAUUACCCGCUGAACUUAA
This 313-nucleotide unclassified non-coding RNA is filed under the name uncultured Sporidiobolales. RNAcentral describes it as "sequence contains ITS2". The stretch from base 1 to 52 matches the Rfam family "5.8S ribosomal RNA", at positions 103 to 154 of the family's 154-position model. Lineage: Eukaryota; Fungi; Basidiomycota; Microbotryomycetes; Sporidiobolales. RNAcentral also lists the same sequence under 1 other name. The record is from RNAcentral.